UAAUUGUUGAAAAGAAAUUGAUGUUUUAGCACUACAAAAGACACAGCUCAGCAUGGCCCCUGCGCAAGGAUGACACGCAAAUUCGUGAAGCGUUCCAUAUUUAA
Molecule: small nuclear RNA, 104 nt
Organism: Cavia porcellus (domestic guinea pig)
Lineage: Eukaryota; Metazoa; Chordata; Mammalia; Rodentia; Caviidae
Source: Ensembl